RNAcentral lists this ribosomal RNA (465 nucleotides) under Escherichia coli. Its description in RNAcentral is "bacterial SSU rRNA". It matches the Rfam family "Bacterial small subunit ribosomal RNA", at positions 30 to 483 of the family's 1533-position model. The record is from RNAcentral. Lineage: Bacteria; Pseudomonadati; Pseudomonadota; Gammaproteobacteria; Enterobacterales; Enterobacteriaceae.
AUUGAACGCUGGCGGCAGGCCUAACACAUGCAAGUCGAACGGUAACAGGAAACAGCUUGCUGUUUCGCUGACGAGUGGCGGACGGGUGAGUAAUGUCUGGGAAACUGCCUGAUGGAGGGGGAUAACUACUGGAAACGGUAGCUAAUACCGCAUAACGUCGCAAGACCAAAGAGGGGGACCCUCGGGCCUCUUGCCAUCGGAUGUGCCCAGAUGGGAUUAGCUUGUUGGUGGGGUAACGGCUCACCAAGGCGACGAUCCCUAGCUGGUCUGAGAGGAUGACCAGCCACACUGGAACUGAGACACGGUCCAGACUCCUACGGGAGGCAGCAGUGGGGAAUAUUGCACAAUGGGCGCAAGCCUGAUGCAGCCAUGCCGCGUGUAUGAAGAAGGCCUUCGGGUUGUAAAGUACUUUCAGCGGGGAGGAAGGGAGUAAAGUUAAUACCUUUGCUCAUUGACGUACCCGCA